Molecule: ribosomal RNA, 465 nt
Filed under: Vreelandella stevensii
Lineage: Bacteria; Pseudomonadati; Pseudomonadota; Gammaproteobacteria; Oceanospirillales; Halomonadaceae
Description: partial 16S ribosomal RNA
Rfam family: Bacterial small subunit ribosomal RNA
Source: RNAcentral
CCUACGGGGGGCAGCAGUGGGGAAUAUUGGACAAUGGGGGCAACCCUGAUCCAGCCAUGCCGCGUGUGUGAAGAAGGCCCUCGGGUUGUAAAGCACUUUCAGUGAGGAAGAACGCCUGGUGGUUAAUACCCAUCAGGAAAGACAUCACUCACAGAAGAAGCACCGGCUAACUCCGUGCCAGCAGCCGCGGUAAUACGGAGGGUGCGAGCGUUAAUCGGAAUUACUGGGCGUAAAGCGCGCGUAGGUGGCUUGAUAAGCCGGUUGUGAAAGCCCCGGGCUCAACCUGGGAACGGCAUCCGGAACUGUCAAGCUAGGGUGCAGGAGAGGAAGGUAGAAUUCCCGGUGUAGCGGUGAAAUGCGUAGAGAUCGGGGGGAGUACCAGUGGCGAAGGCGGCCUUGUGGACUGACACUGACAGUGAGGUGCGGAGGCGUGGGUAGCAAACAGGAUUAGAUACCCGGGUAGUC